Panthera uncia (snow leopard) is the source of this 1857-nucleotide long non-coding RNA. RefSeq lists it as uncharacterized. NCBI's taxonomy places the organism in Eukaryota, Metazoa, Chordata, Mammalia, Carnivora, Felidae. The transcript has 4 exons. The record is from RefSeq and is a predicted model, not a curated record.
CUCGCAGUGUUGGGGGGGCUCCCCCAGGGCCACAGGGGUACAUACAGCCUUGUGGCUCGUGAGCUGACCAGCUGUGGUCUCCUGGGCUGUGGACACAUCACCCCUCCCGGCCUCCGUAUGAGGACCCAGGAGUGUUGGAUUCGGGCUCUUAUUACCCUGGGAUGACCUCAUCUCUACGUGUUUUAUUUUCAUCGACCCGAUUUCCAAAUAAGGUCACCUGCGUAGGCGCUAGGGGUCAGGACUUCCGCGCGUCUUUUAUGUUGAACACAACCCGUCACAUGCCUCAUGGUGGUGAUUUCCGCAGCCCAAGUUAACACUGUAUUAAGCAUAUUUGUGGUGAGGAAUCCGUCUCGGAGAACCUCGUCCUGCGGCUUGUAGACACCGGCACACGUUGGCAGACACUGGUCCCACGCUGGUCCCCGCUUUUAACCUGUUCUUCCGUGACUCGUUGAUCAGCAGUGAGCAGAGUCCUGGCCACCACCCAUGUGACAGAAUACUCUGGAAGCCGCGGACAGCUGUACAUACAGAAAUGGCAAGAUCAGCAAAUGAUGGUAACGAGCAUGGACAAGUCUCAUAAAUUUGAGUAUUUUUUAAAGGAGCACAUGCCAUAGACUUCGACUGAUGCCUUCACGAGGUAACAAGCAGGAAGAUGAGGGUGGUUCAUCGUGAGUUAGAACAAGGUACUUACGUCGGCUCACGUAAAGAAUGCUGGCUUAGCGUUGCAAACACAACCUCCAACAGAGUGAUGUCGCACAGACCGGAGGGGCUGUGACCUCCGAGGACUCCUGUGCCUGCAGAGGUGACUGACCGCUCACUGGACAAAUACACCUCCUUUGCUAUGGGACGGGGGUCUCCGCACCCUCAUUUUUCUUCGUUUCAUUAGAUCUGGACGCUCGGUUCCCCCCUGAGGUGAGGACACCCUGCACGCGGCAAGGACACUGGAAAUGGCCAGCGUCUUCCCCAACAGCUCAUCUCUGAGACCUGCCUGCAUCCACUUACCGGACAGAAGUCACCUGGUGGUCAGGCUUCUCCGGACAGAUGCCUCUCCCCAGAGGCUCACACCUGUGGUCCGCGAGCAGCGUGUGCGGUAUCCCAGGGAAACAGGGCGGCCUUUCGGUCAUCUCUUUGUAAGGAUUAACCAGCAGCCUUCAGGAAAAUGAGUCUCUUUUUUCCCUUCAUUCAAUGGACAUUUCAUCCGUAUACCCAUCACCAUUGCUGCUGGGAUGGUCUCAACCACCCAUAACCAUGGAAACUUCUAACCAGGUGCCGUCGUGAGUCAAGUCCCCACUCUCUGCCGAGGACUUGGCCACACAGGACAGCAGCACUCCUGGCUGAAAGCCGGGAACGGGGCUGUGAUGGUCAGCUUCAGGGUCCACUCGGCUGUCCAGGCGCACCCGGAGUGUCACCGUGCAGGUCUCUUGUAGGUGUGGUCGGCAGCCUCGGAGUACAGCGGCGUUCCCUCCACGGUGUGGGGGCCUCGCCCGAUUAGCGGAGGACUCCAGAGUAAAACCAGGUUUCUCAAAGAAGAAAUUCUGCCUGUUGAGUGAGGUGCUGGCCUGCCCUGCAGAUUCCAGCCUUGCAGCCCUUGGUCCGUCUCCCUCUGUCUCAGCGUGUGGAGGGACGAUUGGGGAUGCUAUCACAUUGUGGGUGGACACAUACCCCAUUGACUCGAGGUCUCCGGGGAACUUGGGCUAACACGGACCCCCUCGGGCCCGUGCAGAAGCUGUGAUGUCUGUGCUCUCGACGGCUGUAAUAGCUUCAGCUUUGUGUUUCCCUCAUCUGCAUAGUUACAAAGGUUACACUAAAUUACAAGACAUGAACGUAAGGUGAGCAGAUAUUAAUACACAAAAAACUCGG